Dasypus novemcinctus (nine-banded armadillo) is the source of this 2026-nucleotide long non-coding RNA. The record is from Ensembl. NCBI's taxonomy places the organism in Eukaryota, Metazoa, Chordata, Mammalia, Cingulata, Dasypodidae.
ACUGAGUGUAUCUGAAUUUCUUCUUUUAUGUUCCAAUCAUACAGAUUAAGACCCGCCUUCAUUCAAUUUGGCCCCAUCAAAAUAGGCUCUUCAAAGAUCCCAUUCACAAAUAAAUCCAUGCCUUAGCUUGUCUUAUCUUCUUCAAAGGUCCCAUUGGCAAAUGGGCUCAAACCCACAGGUCUGGAAUACCUCUUCUGGGGAUGAAACAAUUCAAUCCCUAUCAGAUGGGAAAGUCCGAAUUCAGACAGAGCGGAACCACAAAAUAUCUAAAUCUUCUCUUCUCCGCCCCUCCAUGGCAAACUUAAUCCAGGCAGGACACACCUGAGUGUUGCCCCCGUGGCAGCCCCCUGAGGAAGCAGUGGCUCCGUGUCCUCCUGGUGUGUCCUCUCAGGAGCCCUGAACUCCUGGACCCGGCAGCCCACGGCCCCUCGCCCUGGCAGCCCUGGCGGAAACUCUCCCUGGCACGUCUGACUGGCUUACAUGCUUGCCUCUGGGGGUCUCCUGCCCAAAGCUCGGGCUCCCUGCACGGGGGGCCAAUUCUCCCAGUCCUGGGAGGAGGGAGAGGUGGUGGCGGUGGGUCUCAGCAGAACCUGCUGCACAAGACCACGGGAGAUGAGACCCCACACAAUGCUCUGGACAUGCCACCCACGGGACGGUGUCACUCCCCAAAACAAAACACACACAGAUGCCACCUCUUCCCGCUUGCCUCCACGACCACCACCCAAGAGCCAUUCUCAGACUUCACCUGCAGGUUGAAAUUAUCUAGCAAAGUAUCUUCAGAUUCCAACCUGGACAAUCAACAGAUAACCGCCAGAAUAACCCCACAAUGGAAAUCGCAUCUUCUUUCUAAACUACGGCGUUAGGGUGCAACCCUCUUUCAUGUGUACUAUAUAAAUGUAUCCUCAUCAACUAAGGGCUAAGAGAGGACAUAAACAGAUGAGAACGUUGGCUGCUGUAGGAAAGCCUUUAGAGUGCCGCCAUGGUCCAGUGUUUCAUAAUUGCAACAACCACCGUUAGUGAACUUGUGCCCCAGCUCCACCACUUGGUUGAGCUUCCAAACCUUCCCAAACCUUUAUUUCUUCUGGUGAAACCCCAAACUCAAGUCUGAUACAGAACUUCAGGGAUAAAUAUAUAUGAAAAAAUUAUAUAUACUCAUGAACACCUGCUCCCUUCUCUUACACAUAUGCACAACCCCCAGUUACCAUUUGGCUAGUUCUUCCAUCUCCAUCUUGGUAUAAAAAAUCUUGUAGUGAAUACGGCUGCCGCUGAUACAGAGAAGAAAAGAAACACCACAUCUUUUGUGUCUGUCUGCUUAGCUCCAGAACGUCAAAAGCAAGAAAAGAAAUUUCUCUGGGGAGAGGUUUUGCUAGAACUUGAAGUCAAUCCAAAGACUUGCCCACCAUCUUCUCAGAGGUGGGAUCGGCCGUUGCUUGAUGACUUUAAGACAUUUUAAGAAUAGAGGCUAUUGUUUAUACAAGCAGAGUCUACAUGAGCCCUGCGCUUGGCUGAACCAUCAGUUCCUCCAGCUCUAGCGAACAUCAAGGUUGGAGUUAGUUCCUGGAGUAGAUCUUAGUUCUGGACAGUCAGCAGAGCUGGUGGGAAGGUGAUCUUUGGACAUGUGCGGCCAUCUGAUUUCCUCAAGGAUAGGUAUUCUUUGUGAUCCGGGGAAGGCUUUGAUGGCUCCUGUGUAUAAACAGGAUUAGAAAUGAGCUACGCCUCUGAACUGUUUGACCUCUAGACUCAGAACUGGACUUAGUGGAUUUGUGCCCUCCACAGAUACCCACAUCUUAAUCCUUGGAACUGUACAUCUGACCUGACAUGGUGUUUUGGUUUCCUAGAUACUAAAACAAAUACCACACAAUGGGUUGGCUCCACAACACCUGGAAAAGGCAAGGAAAUGGAUUAUCUCCUACAUCCUCUGGAAGGAACCAGCCCUGCCUCUGCCUCGAUUUUAGCUCAGGGAGUCCCAUUUAGGAUGCCUGACUUCCCAAAACUGCGAGAGAAUAAAUUUGCCUUGUUUCAACCU